Molecule: long non-coding RNA, 337 nt
Organism: Ctenocephalides felis (cat flea)
Lineage: Eukaryota; Metazoa; Arthropoda; Insecta; Siphonaptera; Pulicidae
Exons: 4
Source: RefSeq, a predicted model, not a curated record
GGCGGCGGUAAGGCGGUAAAGCGGUAAGGCGGGGGGGAAGGUACCUAACGCAGCAGCAGCAGCGAGCGUCCCGCGGCGGCGGCGGACGAUCGUAAAACAAACUCGGCCGGAUGGGAGUUUAAGGCAAAUUAGAGGAUGUAUGAUGACAAAUCCUAGAAUUACUAGUAAAUGGCAACCUAAUCAAAGGCUUCGAAUCAAAUAUGGAAUACCGGCAAUGCAAAACAAAGCAAUUCUUGGCAACAAAACAAAUUCUUGGUCGACUCGUGAAGACUUUGAAAUAAACAAUAGAAUUCAGUAAAGAUGAAUCAUCAUCAUGCUAUGCAAAGGGCCUAAUCAG